This 73-nucleotide transfer RNA is filed under the name Ovis aries (sheep). It matches the Rfam family "tRNA". From Rfam's summary of the family: Transfer RNA (tRNA) molecules are approximately 80 nucleotides in length. Their secondary structure includes four short double-helical elements and three loops (D, anti-codon, and T loops). The record is from Rfam by way of RNAcentral. Lineage: Eukaryota; Metazoa; Chordata; Mammalia; Artiodactyla; Bovidae.
UCCCUGGCAGUUCAGUGGUUAGGAUUUCACACUUUCGCUGCUAAGGGCCCAGGUUCAAUCCCUGGUUGGGGAA